GGCGAACGCUGGCGGCGUGCCUAAUACAUGCAAGUUGAGCGCUGAAGGUUGGUACUUGUACCAACUGGAUGAGCAGCGAACGGGUGAGUAACGCGUGGGGAAUCUGCCUUUGAGCGGGGGACAACAUUUGGAAACGAAUGCUAAUACCGCAUAAAAACUUUAAACACAAGUUUUAAGUUUGAAAGAUGCAAUUGCAUCACUCAAAGAUGAUCCCGCGUUGUAUUAGCUAGUUGGUGAGGUAAAGGCUCACCAAGGCGAUGACACAUAGCCGACCUGAGAGGGUGAUCGGCCACAUUGGGAAUGAGACACGGCCCAAACUCCUACGGGAGGCAGCAGUAGGGAAUCUUCGGCAAUGGACGAAAGUCUGACCGAGCAACGCCGCGUGAGUGAAGAAGGUUUUCGGAUCGUAAAACUCUGUUGGUAGAGAAGAACGUUGGUGAGAGUGGAAAGCUCAUCAAGUGACGGUAACUACCCAGAAAGGGACGGCUAACUACGUG
Molecule: ribosomal RNA, 497 nt
Filed under: uncultured bacterium
Lineage: Bacteria
Description: partial 16S ribosomal RNA
Rfam family: Bacterial small subunit ribosomal RNA
Source: RNAcentral